Molecule: ribosomal RNA, 468 nt
Filed under: uncultured bacterium
Lineage: Bacteria
Description: partial 16S ribosomal RNA
Rfam family: Bacterial small subunit ribosomal RNA
Source: RNAcentral
GACGAACGCUGGCGGCGUGCUUAACACAUGCAAGUCGAACGGAAAGGCCCUGCUUUUGUGGGGUGCUCGAGUGGCGAACGGGUGAGUAACACGUGAGUAACCUGCCCUUGACUUUGGGAUAACUUCAGGAAACUGGGGCUAAUACCGGAUAGGAGCUCCUGCUGCAUGGUGGGGGUUGGAAAGUUUCGGCGGUUGGGGAUGGACUCGCGGCUUAUCAGCUUGUUGGUGGGGUAGUGGCUUACCAAGGCUUUGACGGGUAGCCGGCCUGAGAGGGUGACCGGCCAAAUUGGGACUGAGAUACGGCCAAGACUCCUACGGGAGGCAGCAGUGGGGAAUAUUGAACAAUGGGCGGAAGCCUGAUGCAGCAACGCCGCGUGCGGGAUGACGGCCUUCGGGUUGUAAACCGCUUUCGCCUGUGACGAAGCGUGAGUGACGGUAAUGGGUAAAGAAGCACCGGCUAACUACGUG